Molecule: long non-coding RNA, 890 nt
Filed under: Jatropha curcas
Lineage: Eukaryota; Viridiplantae; Streptophyta; Magnoliopsida; Malpighiales; Euphorbiaceae
Description: long non-coding RNA (JCUR_LNC002251)
Source: RNAcentral
AUAUAUGUAUGUAUAAAAUUAAGGUCUGACUUUCCAAAAUAAUUCAAUUACACUUUUAAUUCUACGUCCUUUAAUUAUAUACUUCUCAAGGUUUAAAAUCAAUACUAUACAUGGUACCUAAUUUAUCUAAAAUUCUUUCUAUAGAUCCAUGUAUAUUAAGGUUCUCAACUUAUUUAUAUUGCAGUAGUUAUAAUUUACUUUAAUCUAUUAAACCGCUUUAAUUAUUAUUAAUGUUUAUGAAAUAUAUUAGGUAAAUAUAUUGGGAAAAUACCCAGAAUUAGAUUGUCUAGCCAUUAAAUGCUAGAAAUUAAUCAAUUUUUCUGGAAAAUAACCAGAAAUUGAUUCAAUACCCAAACACAGCACUGCCGAAACUUAUUUGGCCAGAGUUUAUGGAGACAGUGGUCAGCGAAGCAAUCAGCGGCGGACAAAGGGCCAAGUUGACUGGCCUUCGGCUAGUCUUACCAGAAAACAGUCAGAAACCACGCUAACCUUCAGCGUCUCUCUGUUGCGUUACUGAAUAAGGAGAGAGAGAACGGGAGUUUUCAAGCUACUGGAGUCGAUAGACAUUGAAGAGCCGUCGCUGUUUGAGUCACAACGCUCAUUGGAGUCGCAAGCGAGGAGGUGCAUCGUCAAGUGGUGGGGGCCGGUGGCUGAGGUUGCGAGGAGCAGCGAUCGAAAACUGGAUCACAGGCUACUCGCCCAAAAGGGAAAUAGAGAAAGUGGUGGUGCGAUGAAGGCUCGAGCCUGUCUCAGGUCGAUAGAGAGAGAGAGAGAGAGAGAAUGAAUGUAAUACCCUCAAUUUCAUAGUUCUAGAAAUUCUAGUUAUGUUAUUAUUAAUAUUAUCCGGAUAGCUAGAAUGAUUGAGAUUAUUUUAAUUUUAAUACGUAGGA